RNAcentral lists this unclassified non-coding RNA (337 nucleotides) under soil metagenome. RNAcentral's name for it is "partial contains 5.8S ribosomal RNA, internal transcribed spacer 2, and large subunit ribosomal RNA". The stretch from base 1 to 120 matches the Rfam family "5.8S ribosomal RNA", at positions 35 to 154 of the family's 154-position model. The record is from RNAcentral.
GAUGAAGAACGCAGCGAAAUGCGAUAAGUAGUGUGAAUUGUAGAAUUCAGUGAAUCAUCGAAUCUUUGAACGCACAUUGCGCCCUAUAGUAUUCUGUAGGGCAUGCAUGUUCGAGCGUCAUUUGUACCUUCAAGCUUUGCUUGGUGUUGGGUGUUUGUCCUCUCCCUGGUGUUUGGACUCGCCUUAAAACAAUUGGCAGCCAGUGUUUUGGUAUUGAAGCGCAGCACAAUUUGCGAUUCUGGCCUUAAAAUACUAGCGUCCAUAAGUACAUUCUCACUUUUGACCUCGGAUCAUGUAGGGAUACCCGCUGAACUUAAGCAUAUCAAUAAGCGGAGGA